UAGCUAGUUGGUGAGGUGAAGGCUUACCAAGGCGACGAUCUGUAGCGGGUCUGAGAGGAUGAUCCGCCACACUGGAACUGAGACACGGUCCAGACUCCUACGGGAGGCAGCAGUGGGGAAUUUUGGACAAUGGGGGCAACCCUGAUCCAGCCAUGCCGCGUGAGUGAAGAAGGCCUUCGGGUUGUAAAGCUCUUUCGGCCGGGAAGAAAUCGCAUGGGCCAAUACCCUGUGUGGAUGACGGUACCGGAAUAAGAAGCACCGGCUAACUACGUGCCAGCAGCCGCGGUAAUACGUAGGGAGCGAGCGUUAAUCGGAAUUACUGGGCGUAAAGCGUGCGCAGGCGGUUUUGUAAGACAGGCGUGAAAUCCCCGGGCUUAACCUGGGAACUGCGUUUGUGACUGCAAGGCUAGAGUACGGCAGAGGGGGGUGGAAUUCCACGUGUAGCAGUGAAAUGCGUAGAGAUGUGGAGGAACACCAAUGGCGAAGGCAGCUCCCCUGGGUCGAUACUGACGCUCAUGCACGAAAGCGUGGGUAGCAAACAGGAUUAGAUACCCUGGUAGUCCACGCCCUAAACUAUGUCAACUAGGUGUUGGGUGGGUAAAACCAUUUAGUACCGUAGCUAACGCGUGAAGUUGACCGCCUGGGGAGUACGGCCGCAAGGUUAAAACUCAAAGGAAUUGACGGGGACCCGCACAAGCGGUGGAUGAUGUGGAUUAAUUCGAUGCAACGCGAAAAACCUUACCUACCCUUGACAUGCCAGGAACUUGCCAGAGAUGUCUUGGUGCCCGAAAGGGAGCCUGGACACAGGUGCUGCAUGGCUGUCGUCAGCUCGUGUCGUGAGAUGUUGGGUUAAGUCCCGCAACGAGCGCAACCCUUGUCGUUAAUUGCCAUCAUUUAGUUGGGCACUUUAACGAGACUGCCGGUGACAAACCGGAGGAAGGUGGGGAUGACGUCAAGUCCUCAUGGCCCUUAUGGGUAGGGCUUCACACGUCAUACAAUGGUCGGUACAAAGGGUUGCCAAGCCGCGAGGCGGAGCCAAUCCCAGAAAGCCGAUCGUAGUCCGGAUUGCAGGCUGCAACUCGCCUGCAUGAAGUCGGAAUCGCUAGUAAUCGUGGAUCAGCAUGUCACGGUGAAUACGUUCCCGGGUCUUGUACACACCGCCCGUCACACCAUGGGAGCGGGUUCCGCCAGAAGUAGGUAGCCUAACCGCAAGGGGGGCGCUUACCACGGCGGGGUUCGUGACUGGGGUGAAGUCGUAACAAGGUAGCCGUAGGGGAACCUGCGGCUG
Molecule: ribosomal RNA, 1288 nt
Filed under: metagenome
Description: bacterial SSU rRNA
Rfam family: Bacterial small subunit ribosomal RNA
Source: RNAcentral